GACGAACGCUGGCGGCGUGCUUAACACAUGCAAGUCGAACGAAGUGGCGAACGGGUGAGUAACGCGUAAUCAACCUGCCCUUCAGAGGGGGACAACAGUUGGAAACGACUGCUAAUACCGCAUACUGAAGGAGGGGAUUGCGUCUGAUUAGCUAGUUGGAGGGGUAACGGCCCACGAGGGCGAUGAUCAGUAUCCGGUGUGAGAGGAUUGACGGCCACAGUGGGACUGAGACACGGCCCAGACUGCCAAGGGAGGCAGCAGUGGGGAAUCUUCCGCAAUGGACGGAAGUCUGACGGAGCAACGCCGCGUGAGUGAUGACGGCCUUCGGGUUGUAAAGCUCUGUUAAUCGGGACGCGGUACCGGAAUAGAAAGCCACGGCUAACUACGUGCCAGCCGCCGCGGUAAUUC
This 408-nucleotide ribosomal RNA is filed under the name uncultured bacterium. RNAcentral's name for it is "partial 16S ribosomal RNA". It matches the Rfam family "Bacterial small subunit ribosomal RNA", at positions 28 to 526 of the family's 1533-position model. The record is from RNAcentral.